UUUAUGAUGUCAUGAAUGGCUCCCAUAGAUACAGGGAGAGUAGUGGAUGUUGUUUACCUUGACUUCAGGAAAGCUUUUGAAUUUGUCUCCCAUAACAUCCUCACAGGCUCCAGAAAGUCCUGAUCACAAAUUCUCAGAGAAGAUGGGAUUGCUACAUGACUGAGGACAGUUGUUUCCUAGAUACUCUGCUGAGAUGUCAGUCUUCUUUAACUUCAGUCUGGAGUGAAUUUAUUGGGGUUAUGUUGGCACCAUGGCUUCUGGCUCUGAGCCUGGCUUAGCAGAGACACGUGCCUCCCACCCUGCUUUCAGAAGGAUGUCAUUGAGGCAACCACACAAGGUCUAAGUAUCUGGCCAUAUGGAAGAAAAGUAAUUAGGUGGAUGGAAAUACUCCAGCCAGAGCUGGACUAACAGUUGGAUAUUACCUUCAUAAGUAUUGCCAUUAUCAUCUGAGCAGAUUUCAUUUUCAGAAGGCACUCCCAAUAAAAAGCAGGCACAAGACUGAAUCCAGCAUGGAAUUUGAUCCAGUUCUUACUGAGUUCUAUGCUACCACUCUGGGGCCAUUAUUCAGGUUGAACCUACAAAUCUUCAGGUGUCUGCCAUCUUCAGUAAUAUCUGAGUGCCCUAAUUUAAGGCAGGGAAUUAAACAUGUAGCAAAUGAGAAUCACAUGGGUAACGUUUGGAAAAUAAUUGUAGUAAGUAUGCUGAUGGAAAUCAUCCAAGAAAAGCUUCGGCAAAAUGAGCCCCAAAGUACAUUUCAUCUAUGUUUACAUUUUUAACACUAAAAUACAAAGUUUAUAUUGUUCCUCUAAUAGUCCACCUGGGGAAUGAGGAAUAUUUCUCUUCUGUGUUUCCAAAAAAAUAAAAAUAAGAUGGGAAAUAAAUGUUAAACAUUUAGUUUAAGGACAUAUUUUCAUCUUGUUUGAAGGCUUAUUUUUUAAUAACAUUAAUAAGAGGCAUACAUACUGGGAGAAUAAAUCCAUCUGGGCUUAUGUGUCAAAGGUAGGUGAGCUCAGCCGUGCAUUUCUUCGUCUACACUGUAUUGAUCCAAGCACACUUUGUAUCUGACAUACACAAAUACCUCUGUGACAGUCUUUGCUCUCACUUUGCCAGUUAGUUGCUCUGUAAGC
Molecule: long non-coding RNA, 1127 nt
Organism: Phasianus colchicus (ring-necked pheasant)
Lineage: Eukaryota; Metazoa; Chordata; Aves; Galliformes; Phasianidae
Source: RefSeq, a predicted model, not a curated record